Molecule: microRNA, 20 nt
Filed under: Picea abies (Norway spruce)
Lineage: Eukaryota; Viridiplantae; Streptophyta; Pinopsida; Pinales; Pinaceae
Description: pab-miR3706
Source: miRBase by way of RNAcentral
UUUCGGAGGAAUGGAUAAGA